This 1390-nucleotide ribosomal RNA is filed under the name Kocuria sp. RHLX13. RNAcentral's name for it is "bacterial SSU rRNA". It matches the Rfam family "Bacterial small subunit ribosomal RNA". Lineage: Bacteria; Bacillati; Actinomycetota; Actinomycetes; Micrococcales; Micrococcaceae. RNAcentral also lists the same sequence under 1 other name. The record is from RNAcentral.
GCAAGUCGAACGAUGAUGCCCAGCUUGCUGGGCGGAUUAGUGGCGAACGGGUGAGUAAUACGUGAGUAACCUGCCCUUGACUCUGGGAUAAGCCUGGGAAACUGGGUCUAAUACUGGAUACUACCUCUUACCGCAUGGUGGGUGGUGGAAAGGGUUUUACUGGUUUUGGAUGGGCUCACGGCCUAUCAGCUUGUUGGUGGGGUAAUGGCUCACCAAGGCGACGACGGGUAGCCGGCCUGAGAGGGUGACCGGCCACACUGGGACUGAGACACGGCCCAGACUCCUACGGGAGGCAGCAGUGGGGAAUAUUGCACAAUGGGCGGAAGCCUGAUGCAGCGACGCCGCGUGAGGGAUGACGGCCUUCGGGUUGUAAACCUCUUUCAGUAGGGAAGAAGCGAGAGUGACGGUACCUGCAGAAGAAGCGCCGGCUAACUACGUGCCAGCAGCCGCGGUAAUACGUAGGGCGCAAGCGUUGUCCGGAAUUAUUGGGCGUAAAGAGCUCGUAGGCGGUUUGUCGCGUCUGCUGUGAAAGCCCGGGGCUCAACCCCGGGUCUGCAGUGGGUACGGGCAGACUAGAGUGCAGUAGGGGAGACUGGAAUUCCUGGUGUAGCGGUGAAAUGCGCAGAUAUCAGGAGGAACACCGAUGGCGAAGGCAGGUCUCUGGGCUGUUACUGACGCUGAGGAGCGAAAGCAUGGGGAGCGAACAGGAUUAGAUACCCUGGUAGUCCAUGCCGUAAACGUUGGGCACUAGGUGUGGGGGACAUUCCACGUUUUCCGCGCCGUAGCUAACGCAUUAAGUGCCCCGCCUGGGGAGUACGGCCGCAAGGCUAAAACUCAAAGGAAUUGACGGGGGCCCGCACAAGCGGCGGAGCAUGCGGAUUAAUUCGAUGCAACGCGAAGAACCUUACCAAGGCUUGACAUUCACCGGACCGCCCCAGAGAUGGGGUUUCCCUUCGGGGCUGGUGGACAGGUGGUGCAUGGUUGUCGUCAGCUCGUGUCGUGAGAUGUUGGGUUAAGUCCCGCAACGAGCGCAACCCUCGUUCUAUGUUGCCAGCACGUGAUGGUGGGGACUCAUAGGAGACUGCCGGGGUCAACUCGGAGGAAGGUGGGGAUGACGUCAAAUCAUCAUGCCCCUUAUGUCUUGGGCUUCACGCAUGCUACAAUGGCCGGUACAAAGGGUUGCGAUACUGUGAGGUGGAGCUAAUCCCAAAAAGCCGGUCUCAGUUCGGAUUGAGGUCUGCAACUCGACCUCAUGAAGUCGGAGUCGCUAGUAAUCGCAGAUCAGCAACGCUGCGGUGAAUACGUUCCCGGGCCUUGUACACACCGCCCGUCAAGUCACGAAAGUUGGUAACACCCGAAGCCGGUGGCCUAACCCCUUGUGGGAGGGAGC